Molecule: ribosomal RNA, 274 nt
Filed under: uncultured bacterium
Lineage: Bacteria
Description: partial 16S ribosomal RNA
Rfam family: Bacterial small subunit ribosomal RNA
Source: RNAcentral
AUACGGAGGGUGCAAGCGUUAAUCGGAAUUACUGGGCGUAAAGCGUACGUAGGCGGUUCGUUAAGUUAGAUGUGAAAGCCCCGGGCUUAACCUGGGAACUGCAUUUAAAACUGGCGAACUAGAGUUGAGUAGAGGGGAGUGGAAUUUCAGGUGUAGCGGUGAAAUGCGUAGAGAUCUGAAGGAACACCAGUGGCGAAGGCGACUCCCUGGACUCGAACUGACGCUGAGGUACGAAAGCGUGGGUAGCAAACAGGAUUAGAUACCCUAGUAGUCC